GCUUAACGCGAAGAACCUUACCAGGGCUUGACAUGGGCAGUGCCGGUCCAGAGAUGGAUCUUCCCGCAAGGGGCUGCCGCACAGGUGCUGCAUGGCUGUCAUCAGCUCGUGUCGUGAGAUGUUGGGUUAAGUCCCGCAACGAGCGCAACCCUCGCCUUCAGUUGCCAUCAUUUGGUUGGGCACUCUGAAGGAACUGCCGGUGACAAGCCGGAGGAAGGUGGGGAUGACGUCAAGUCCUCAUGGCCCUUAUGUCCUGGGCUACACACGUGCUACAAUGGCGAUGACAGUGGGAGGCCAGGUCGCGAGGCCGAGCCGAUCCCCAAAAGUCGUCUCAGUUCGGAUUGCACUCUGCAACUCGAGUGCAUGAAGGUGGAAUCGCUAGUAAUCGCGGAUCAGCAUGCCGCGGUGAAUACGUUCCCGGGUCUUGUACACAC
Molecule: ribosomal RNA, 434 nt
Filed under: uncultured bacterium
Lineage: Bacteria
Description: bacterial SSU rRNA
Rfam family: Bacterial small subunit ribosomal RNA
Source: RNAcentral